GGAGGUUUACCCAAGCCUGGCUGAAGGGAUCGGUCUUGAAAACCGACAGGGGAUGAAAGUCCCGCGGGGGUUCGAAUCCCUCAACCUCCGCCA
This 93-nucleotide transfer RNA is filed under the name Coprobacillus cateniformis. Its description in RNAcentral is "tRNA-Ser". It matches the Rfam family "tRNA". Rfam says of the family: Transfer RNA (tRNA) molecules are approximately 80 nucleotides in length. Their secondary structure includes four short double-helical elements and three loops (D, anti-codon, and T loops). RNAcentral also lists the same sequence under 2 other names. Lineage: Bacteria; Bacillati; Bacillota; Erysipelotrichia; Erysipelotrichales; Coprobacillaceae. The record is from RNAcentral.